AAUAUUUGACAAUGGGGGGAACCCUGAUCCAGCCAUGCCGCGUGUGUGAAGAAGGCCUUUUGGUUGUAAAGCACUUUAUGCGAGGAGGAGGAGCUCUUGGUUAAUACCCAAGAUGCUUGGACGUUACUCGCAGAGUAAGCACCGGCUAACUCUGUGCCCGCAGCCGCGGUAAUACAAUGGGUGCAAGCGUUAAUCGGAUUUACUGGGCGUAAAGCGGGCGGAGGUGGCCAAUUAAGUCAAAUGUGAAAACACUGAGGUUAAAAUGGGAAUUGCAUUCGAUACUGGUUGGCUAGAGUAUGGGGGAGGAUGGUAGGAUUCCAGGUGUAGAGGUGAAAUGCGUAGAGAUCUGGAGGAAUACCGAUGGCGAAGGCAGCCAUCUGGCCUAAUACUGACACUGAGGUGCGAAAGCAUGGGGAGCAAACA
RNAcentral lists this ribosomal RNA (423 nucleotides) under uncultured bacterium. RNAcentral's name for it is "partial 16S ribosomal RNA". It matches the Rfam family "Bacterial small subunit ribosomal RNA", at positions 360 to 774 of the family's 1533-position model. The record is from RNAcentral.